RNAcentral lists this ribosomal RNA (603 nucleotides) under uncultured Gammaproteobacteria bacterium. RNAcentral's name for it is "partial 16S ribosomal RNA". The record is from RNAcentral. Lineage: Bacteria; Pseudomonadati; Pseudomonadota; Gammaproteobacteria.
ACGCGUUGGGAGCUCUCCCAUAUGGUCGACCUGCAGGCGGCCGCGAAUUCACUAGUGAUUCGUAUUACCGCGGCUGCUGGCACAGAGUUAGCCGGUGCUUAUUCUGUCGGUAACGUCAAAACACUAACGUAUUAGGUUAAUGCCCUUCCUCCCAACUUAAAGUGCUUUACAAUCCGAAGACCUUCUUCACACACGCGGCAUGGCUGGAUCAGGCUUUCGCCCAUUGUCCAAUAUUCCCCACUGCUGCCUCCCGUAGGAGUCUGGACCGUGUCUCAGUUCCAGUGUGACUGAUCAUCCUCUCAGACCAGUUACGGAUCGUCGCCUUGGUGAGCCAUUACCCCACCAACUAGCUAAUCCGACCUAGGCUCAUCUGAUAGCGCAAGGCCCGAAGGUCCCCUGCUUUCUCCCGUAGGACGUAUGCGGUAUCAGCGUCCGUUUCCGAGCGUUAUCCCCCACUACCAGGCAGAUUCCUAGGCAUUACUCACCCGUCCGCCGCUCUCAAGAGGUGCAAGCACCUCUCUACCGCUCGACUUGCAUGUGUUAGGCCUGCCGCCAGCGUUCAAUCUGAGCCAUGAUCAAACUCUAAUCGAAUUCCCGCGGCCG